UGAAAAUUACGCCUAAUUUGUAAAUGUGUUAAAACAAAAGGACGCUUCCCAAUCUUUUCUUGGCUCUCCCUAAUGGAGCCCAGUACCCCAACCCGUAACUCAAGCCAAAAAAUGGGCCAGGCCUAAAAUCAGGCCCAACAAUUACUGAAUGACCAAUUUACAAUGCAUAAUCAUUUCAUAUACUGCAGGAAUAAUAAAAUUAAUUACAACCCCUAACACAUGAAUGUUUCAAAUUAUAUCACAGUUCUAAAUUUAUGAUCCAAAUUUGUUUACACUGCUGAACACUUCUAUGUACUGAAACUCUAUAUUUCUAAAAUUAAAUUGUGUAACAACACUUAGGAACUAAGCAAUUGUCUUAUGACUCCUCAUGCUUUUGAUUUCAGCUUGAAUUCCACACUUAAACUCCAUCCUUAUGGGUUAAAGGUGUCAAUAGUGAACAGGAUUUAUUCCUCAUCCUCAUGAGUUUACUAACUAUAGUAGUCAACCAGUAUCAUGGACUGUUCAAACAUGAGAAUAUUUCAAUUAUUAACCUGUUAACGGAGACAAAUUACUAACAGUAACAACUAGCUAUUGACAAAUAAGCUCAGCUUCAAAUAUUCAGCUCAAAAUAAAACCAAACACUAAUAAAGAAGAAAGUGAUCAGAUCAAGUGAAUCAAUGCAAAGAACACACGAAAUCAAGCACAGUUAUGGAAUCAAACAUUCAGUUCUAUCAUUUCUAUAUUCAAAGGGGAAUUACAACUGGAAUUUCGACAUACCUAGCAGCAAAACAAAACACCUGAAUAGUGACCAAAUAUAGGUCUGGUUGAAGAAAAUUCAGCUACAAUUGGCAACAACAAACAGCAAUAGAUGGCCAAAUAAAGGCUGAGGAGAGUAGCGAAGGAAUUCAGCUAUAACGCGACAUCCGAGCAACUUCAAUUAACAAAUGAAACCCCAGCUUGAUCAACCCAGAAAAUAAGAGAUGAAACUCUCUGAAUCAACUAAAGAGAGCCAACUUUUGAAUUGUUUAGAACAACCUAAAACUCUGCAAUCCCUUUUUUUUGAUGUUUUUUUAGAUCUAGCUUUGAAUUUCAGAGUGUUUUCUGCCUAUGAGAAAGAGCAAAGAUGGCAAGAAAAAGUGAGAGACGUGUGAAUUCUCUGGAAAAUAUGCAGAAUCAAAAAGUGUCCUCAAAUAUGUAGGGUGGAGUUUUUUUUAUAUCAAAAUGAGAGAAUCAAUUGAAACAUGUGUCAUCCCUAAAAAAUAGGGAAAAGGCAUCUUUCUACAACAGAUUUGAACAGCUGCCCUUUUCAGAUAUUCUUUCCUUAAUUUUCAACCCUUUUUACUUCUGUAUUUACCCCUUUUAGCCCCCAAUUUGACCUAAUUUCCUUUGUCUUAUUGUAUUUUAGUCCCUACAUACUCUCUUCUAGAAGAUUCAAGCUAUUAAUCAGAAAAGAUUACUUAAUUUUUCUAUUAACUCCCUCAAAUCCAUGUUAACACCCUUCUUUUAACCUUUUCUUUUAACUCACUCAUUUUACUAUCCUCUACCAAAAAUUACUGUCCUCUUUCUCUUAUCAGAACCAAACGUUUAAUACAUAGCAACGAACUAAACUGAAUUAUCAGUAAGCUAACAAACUUAAGCUAAACAUGACUCAACAACUGAUUAAACAAGUUGAUUAAGUAGAUAUGCAAUUCAAAACAACAAAUAAUUAUCAAUUGACCAAGUUCAGGUUCAAUUCAACAAAUAAUCACUCAGAAAGUUAAAACAAUUUACUAACAAUUAACUAUUAACCUAAGCAUGUCAAAAAAUUAAGACUUAACUAUCGAUUAACAAUUAAAUAGCGGAUCAUCAAUUCUGUGAUUUAUCUAGGUGCGAUCUAAGAAUAAAAAGAAAAAGAAAAAGAAAUAUACCUAUUGGGCUAUCACUUUCAGCAAGAGGUAUAGAGAGAAACUGGACGGGCCCUAAUUGAAAUAACAAAAGCGACUUCGACAAGAACCGUCCGAUUGAUUAGAUUUUGAACGAGCCUUGGUGACUUCGAAAUGAGCUGAAAUUAACAUAAAUUGAUUUCUCUGGUCAAGAGCAAUCGAUUCAUGUGAGUUUGAGCCAAAACGAAUCAGCAAUUGUUGACGAAAUCAGAAAGAGGACGAACUUACGGUUCUCUGGAAUCUCAGAUCUAAAAAUCGUUGAGUUUGAUGAGUUUUUCGGGGAAAAUAAUGAUGGAUUAGGGAUGAAGAUGGAUUAGGGAUGAAGAGGGAUUAGGGAUUGUUUGGCGUUAAUUUGGGGAGCUUUGGUGGUGAUUCGCGGCCGCGGGCGAUUUCCGGCAGCGGUCUAAGGCUAAGGGUGAUAGAGUGAAAGAGAUGAGGAAGUCUCUAGGGUUUUGGGUCUUGUUUCGGACAGUUAAAAUAGAGAAGUUUUAUUGUGUGUUUCCCAUGUGUAUCACAAAUUUAUGAAUCUUAAUCUUAUAUUUUUGGGUCCAUAAAAAAUGUGAGUAUACAAAAUUAUAAAACAAAAAAAAU
This 2492-nucleotide long non-coding RNA is filed under the name Nicotiana tabacum (common tobacco). RNAcentral describes it as "long non-coding RNA (NTAB_LNC000404)". Lineage: Eukaryota; Viridiplantae; Streptophyta; Magnoliopsida; Solanales; Solanaceae. The record is from RNAcentral.